CAAUAGCGUAUAUUAAAGCUGUUGCGGUUAAAAAGCUCGUAGUUGGAUUUCUGUCAAGGACAACUGGUCCGCCCUCCGGGUGAGCACAUAGUUUGGUCUUGGCAUCUUGUUCAAAACUGUUACUGCGCUUGGUUGUGUGGUGCAGUUUUGGGCACUUUCACUUUGAGGAAAUUGGAGUGUUUCAAGCAGGCACAUGCCUUUGGACACAGUAGCAUGGAAUAAUUAGAUUGGGCUUUUGCUCCAACUUGUCGGUUCCUGGAGCUGAGGUGAGAAUCAAUGGGGAUUGUUGGGGGCACCUGAAUUUAGCCGUCAGAGGUGAAAUUCUUGGAUCUGCUAAAGACGGACAACUGCGAAAGCGUUUGCCCAGGAUGUUUUCAUUGA
RNAcentral lists this ribosomal RNA (381 nucleotides) under uncultured eukaryote. RNAcentral's name for it is "partial 18S ribosomal RNA". It matches the Rfam family "Eukaryotic small subunit ribosomal RNA", at positions 592 to 976 of the family's 1831-position model. The record is from RNAcentral.